Molecule: long non-coding RNA, 817 nt
Filed under: Homo sapiens (human)
Lineage: Eukaryota; Metazoa; Chordata; Mammalia; Primates; Hominidae
Description: HSALNT0360270
Source: RNAcentral
AGCCAGGGCAGAUGCUGUAGUCUUGAGGCAGAAUUUCUUCUCCUCCGGGAGAAAUCAACCGAUGGUAGAUGUUAACCAAGUCUGUAGAAUAUCUACUCAGCAGCAUCUAGUGCUGGAGUUAAAUAGCUGGGUGCUAUGGUCCAGCCAAGGUGCCGCCUGAAACACCCUCACAUGGUGGGAAGAGCGGUGGUUGAAGAAGGAACCCUGGAGACCUUGAUGUUGAAGAGAGGGCAAGGGAAGAGGGCUAAGGACAAGAAAAGAGCCAUUGGAGAGAGAAAGAGAUGAAGUGGAAGACAGUGAGUGAGGGGCUGGCAGAAGGAUUUCCCCUCUUCAAACUAGAGGAGAACUUCCUCAGCCUCCAUGCAGCCGGCCAGAUCCUAGGGCAAAGCUCUGGCUAGAGAAGGCAAGGACAGGCAAGAAAAUGUUUUAGAAAAAGACCCUUUCCAUCUGGAAUGCUUUUUCCAACUCCCUUCACACCUUCAGGCUGGCUUCUAGUUGCACCAGGAACUCUGGGCCCACGUGUGAGGUGCGGGGGCAACACUGUCCAUCGAGAGGACCUGUGGCUGCCUCCUCAUCCCUUCCACCAAGCGCAGGAUGGCACCAUUGCUGGCUUCUGCUGCCCUCUGUUGUGGUCCUGUACCUCCUCACCUGCUCAGAUGCUCCGCGGGGACUGAUGGAGCUCUUCCUGGUCUCCAGUGGUUCUUACUGGGUAGUGCUGGACAACAGAGUACCAGGAAGGCAGGGACCUGGCCAAGCGCACAUACGCAUGAGUGGAGGAAAUUUUACAAUUUUUAGGAAGCAACAAAGUAUAAAGUGG